AUACAGAGGGUGCGAGCGUUAAUCGGAAUUACUGGGCGUAAAGCGCGCGUAGGCGGCUACUUAAGUCAGAUGUGAAAUCCCCGGGCUCAACCUGGGAACUGCAUCUGAUACUGGGUAGCUAGAGUUUAGGAGAGGGAAGUAGAAUUUCAGGUGUAGCGGUGAAAUGCAUAGAGAUCUGAAGGAAUACCAGUGGCGAAGGCGGCUUCCUGGCCUAAAACUGACGCUGAAGUGCGAAAGCGUGGGUAGCAAACGGGAUUAGAUACCCCAGUAGUCC
Molecule: ribosomal RNA, 274 nt
Filed under: uncultured bacterium
Lineage: Bacteria
Description: partial 16S ribosomal RNA
Rfam family: Bacterial small subunit ribosomal RNA
Source: RNAcentral